RNAcentral lists this ribosomal RNA (513 nucleotides) under uncultured bacterium. Its description in RNAcentral is "bacterial SSU rRNA". It matches the Rfam family "Bacterial small subunit ribosomal RNA", at positions 10 to 518 of the family's 1533-position model. The record is from RNAcentral.
AGUUGAUCCUGGCUUAGGAUGAACGCUAGCGGCAGGCUAACACAUGCAAGUCGAGGGGCAGCGCGAGUAGCAAUACUUGGCGGCGACCGGCGCAAGGGUGCGUAACGCGUGAGCAACAUGCCCGUAUCAGGGGGAUAAUCCAGGGAAACUUGGUCUAAUACCCCAUAGUAAUUUUGUAAGGCAUCUUAUAAGAUUUAAAGCUUUGGUGGAUACGGAUUGGCUCGCGUGACAUUAGCUGGAUGGUAAGGUAACGGCUUACCAUGGCUAUGAUGUCUAGGGGUUCUGAGAGGAAGGUCCCCCACACUGGAACUGAGACACGGUCCAGACUCCUACGGGAGGCAGCAGUGAGGAAUAUUGGACAAUGGAUGGAAAUCUGAUCCAGCCAUGCCGCGUGAAAAGGAAGAAGGUCCUAUGGAUUGUAAACUUCUUUUGUAUGGGAGCAAUAAGGCCUACGAGUAGGUUGAUGAGAGUACCAUACGAAUAAGCACCGGCUAACUCCGUGCCAGCCGCGGC